GUAGCCGAACUGAAGCCACUCGUUAGGAAAAGCAGCUGACCCAGUGUUGCAGGUUCAUAAUCCAGGGCCUGCUGAGACGCUUUAGAGAGGGGAGGGUUAACGACAGCCAGAGCACAUGUGUAGUAAGGGCCAUGUGCACAUCUGCAUCAGUGCUGUAUGUUCAGGGAGGUGGGAAACUGUUCCGUGUGUGGUGGGAAGGGUUAAAGUCUUUAAUUUUGGGGUGCUUAAAUUGAAAGGGCGGUAGGUGUGUCCACGCAUUGCAGUGACUCUGUGGAAAGAAGAAUGGUGCCAGAGCAGCAGUGAGGGAGUGCGGAGGCAUGGCUGCAAGUUGAAAGGCAAGGUGCGGGGCGAGGAAGAAUUGGGCCCGCGGGUGGUUAUUCUGUCACUUGAGCGGUGUUGUUUCCUUUGGGAAGUUGCUUGGCCUCUGCGCUUUCCUCGCCUCUCUGCCUUUUUUCCUGCCCUUUCUGUUUUAAUGGCGCAGUUGGAGACUUCAUUUGUUUCUGCCAGGAUGUUCAUCCAGUAACUGGAGUGCCUAGUUUGGUUGGUGCCUCUGGGUAUUACAGUAAUAGAGACUAUAGUAACAUCAUAAUGGAGGGGAAAACCCAGAACAACCUAGUGGAAGGUUGCUUUGGGCUGUAAGACUAUGAAUAGAACAGAAACGAAAUGGAGAAAGACGUACCUAGAGGCAGAGAGGAUAUCCAGCAGUACCUAGGUGAAAGAAAAAAGUUAGAAAAUGCAGAACAUUCUAAAAAAAAAAGAGAAAGAACCAAGAUGGGCCUAAUAAGAAACAAGGUGUAUUAAAAAUGUGCACAUACGAAUGACAGAAACCUCAAAAGAGUAAAUACUGUUUUGUAAGAGGCAGAGCAGAUGAGAAAGUCACUGUUGCUGACCUGCAGAGUCAAAGGUUGCAUUGCGAGUUCAUUAGAUACCGAAAGCUCUCCAGGGGCAAAGGGCACUUGAGACACAGGUCUUGAAGAAAUCUGGUUUAUCAGCUCUGCUGUUUGAGCAACGAUUUGGACUUUUUGGUCAAGUUUUGCCCAGAACUAACAUGUAAUGAAUGACCUGCCAUCGCCGUUGCUUAUCAUCUUUACCAGCUAUUUAACAUGCGUUACAGGCAAGCCAGACCCUGCGGUAUCGGCUUAUUUCCUCAGAGUGGCAUAGCAGGACAAGAAACAACAGUGGGCUUCUGCGAUGCCCACCACUGGAUGGAGCUGGUCCAAGAAUAGCUUGCUGACGGCAUGGGUAGUGCAGCAGAUAGGAAAGCUAUCCCUCUGCCCUCGGGACUAGGUUCUGCAUUCUGUCUGAACCUGUGUGUUGCUGGGUCUGUGGACUCCUUCUAAAGGCUUGAGGAAUGGUAACUGAGAAAAAGCAAGCUAUUUGAGGAAGCUGAAGCAUAUUCCAAACAAGUCGUGUCAUUAAUGAGAGCAACUUGGGAGUCUGCCAACUCGGGAAGCUUGAAACCCAUGAGUGUAACUGAGUUUUAAAAUGACGGACCAGACCAAAAAACCCAUUUGGGAUCACAGCAUAUCCUCCCAUAAGCUGUACCAGGCUUCUGAUCUGCCUCCAACCACUCCAUUCAAUUUACUGAACUACACUCUCGUUGUGGCAUGCCAGCGUCAGUCCUCUCAGCCUCAAGGCACACUGAAAGCCUUAGUCAGGCCUGCAAAGGCAGGAUUCUUGCCUUAGCCCGGAUCUGCUUGACAGCAUACGGCUGGUUCGUAAUCAGUGGAAAGUGUUCAUGUUACAAGUCUAGUAUCUGUGACGACACUUCACAGAGAAUAUUAACACCCCACACCAAGCUUCUACUUAAAACUGUCUCCAGCAGCUGGGACCUUUGAGAAGAGGCAACAAAUCGGAUGAGACCUGUGAUGAAGCACAAAGAGCGGAGGAUAAAUAAAUCCGUCAUGUCCCAGCACUGCAGUGUCAGUUACUAGUUUGUGCCUUGGGAGGAGCCUGGUAGCUCAGGGAGAAAUCGGAGCUCUGUGGUGCAGUAUGUGCAGCAAUAGGUGGGCACUGCUCCAAAUGGGCUGCAGGCAAGCGUAGCUAUGGAGGAAAGGGCACAGAGCCAGCAUGGCAGGGGUCACUUAAACUGCCGCAGAGGACUGGAUUCAGGCUGUCUAGUGGGUACCCUGCUGAGCCUCUCAGGAAGGCUGCAGGCAUGACCUGCUGUAGAGUAAGGAGAUGAGUUGUGUGCACAACGUCUUCGUGAUUUCUAUCACUCAUGCGUUUCAACUGAGGCACAUCGGGUGUUCCCUCUGCCUCCUCUGGGAUUCUUCCUCCCUCCGCUCCCCCGGGUGAGCACCACCUUGCACCCCCCUGCCCACCGCAUCUGGGUUACAAGCAGCAGAUCUGGUGCUUUCCAGUGAUUGUGUGUAAAUACAAGUACAUGUGAAGAACCGUGGAGGUAUCAAAUAUCUCUGUGUUGAUACAGUUGUCUCUGAAUGACAUACGCGCGUUAUAAAUACAAACCUUUGGUUCUUGCGUCUGUACUGGGUGGAAGAAUAUCGGCUCUGCUGUCAGCCAGCAGCACCACCCUUUCAGAGUAAGUACCCUUCACCACUGAUAGCAAACGUCAAAACCUGCAUAAAGAGGGCCCAACCUCUGGAAGCGCCGGGCUGGCUGACAGGACUGUUUCCUGAUCGCUGCGCACUGCCCUGCGGAGAUGCCUCGGCAAGGCAGGGAGCGAGGCAUGGUCUCUGGUCUCGGACGGGAUGCCCGCCGCAGCUCCGCGCCCGAGGGAUGAAGGAUGCGCUUCCUCCCGGCAGCCGGAGCCGGCUCUCCAGGCGCUAGGGGGUCUUCCUGGCUGCCAUGACUCAUUUCUUUUUUUGACAGCCCCCUGGCUCGAUGCAGUCGAAGCCCUUGUCAGGGUAGCACCAGCUAAGAUAACGGCACCGAUGCGAAAAACAUAAAACCGCAGGAAGAACAGUUACGCUGACAGCGACAGGCCCCAGAGAAUGCCGGGUUUAUUUCGUGUGUGUGUGUGUGUGACAGAGGGGUCAUGCAGCGCGAGACGUGCAGCAGGAGCAGUCGGGCGGGGUGGAGGCGAUGGCGCUCCCAGGCCGAUUAGCCCUCUGCGUUCCGUGUUCAGGGCCCUGAGGACCCCCAAAAGAGCCGCUCCCCCCGCCCCCGGCUGGCAGCGCGGUGGGCGGAGGGAGCCGCAGGUCCGCGCCGCCCCGCCGCGGGGCCCCGCUUCGCGCUCGCCCAGCCCCCGCCCCGCCGCCCGCCCCGCACCGGGUGGGUGCACCAACCGAAAGUAAAAAAACAAGCCAAGAACUACCCCAAAGCCCCUCAAACCCAGCCGGGGCGGGACGGCGGCGAGGCGGGAGGAGUUCGGCGGGCCCACAAGGCGUCCGCUCGGCCUGGCCGAGGUGGGAGAGCGCUGUGAACUCACCUUUGCCAGCAGAGCUGGGACAGGACGGAGCCUUGUGUGGCCCAUCCCAAGCACGGAGCGCAUCGGCCCGCUGGUUAAAAGUACCGAGUGUUGGGCACUGCAAGUGCAAGAAUGAAGCCGUGACACAGCGCAAUACCCUGGGGCGGCUGGUACAGCAUACCCAUGGCGUGGGCAGUUCCCCUUCUGGAGGAAUACCUGAAAAUGGAAUGAUCGCUACAACUUUUUUCCACAGGGUAGGCUGUAGGGGAGCGUUCAGUGGGUCAUCGGAGUCUUACUUUUUGCCGUGUGCAGGGUAGGACAUGUGGUAUUAGAGAUACUGUUCUGCUCCAGGGUGUGCCUUGAGUAGAUCUUGCCAACACAGUUGUGUACAGAAUUCAGCCCCUUCCCCUCCUGGUGCCCCAUUUUAGCUAUAAUGCAGGAGGCACAGAAGAUACGAGGGGUUUAUAAAAGAUCCCACCUGACGUGAAAAGCGCUCAGCUGGCAGCUGCGCACUUUCAUGCCCACACAAAACCUUCAAAAACUCUGUCCUGUGCAGAGCAGAACGCUCCCAGCAUAGUUUUGUGUGAGGUUUUACUAAAAGGCUUUUCUGACGGUUGAUGGGAAGAUAUGAACUCACAUUGUGGUGGAGACAGAAAGAGGAUCUUUUUUUUUUCCCUCUGGCUGCCAGCACCACAGAGGUAGUACCUUGGCAGGCAGUAGUUUUGGGACCUGUCCCGUUUUGUCAGGUUUUUGGAAAUUUGUGAGUGGGAUUAGGAUGGGGGGAAAGCUGGCAGGUGCACACACACGGGGACAAUACAAUGAUAUCCAACUGAUUUUCAUAGAAACCCAGCCUGAACUACAUGAGGCAUGUCUCUGAAAGAGAUGAGUUAUAAAAUAACAGUUUAUUAAGCAUUUUUUGUGUGUGUCUUUCUGCUUUCUGAGCUUUCAGAAUACCCACAUUUUCAACCUUUACUCCUCUACAUUGAGAAAUAAAGUCUUAUCUUUCUCCCAA
This is a long non-coding RNA of Falco peregrinus (peregrine falcon), 4382 nucleotides long. RefSeq lists it as uncharacterized. The record is from RefSeq and is a predicted model, not a curated record. The transcript is spliced from 2 exons. NCBI's taxonomy places the organism in Eukaryota, Metazoa, Chordata, Aves, Falconiformes, Falconidae.